This 388-nucleotide ribosomal RNA is filed under the name uncultured Alphaproteobacteria bacterium. RNAcentral describes it as "bacterial SSU rRNA". It matches the Rfam family "Bacterial small subunit ribosomal RNA", at positions 9 to 426 of the family's 1533-position model. The record is from RNAcentral. Lineage: Bacteria; Pseudomonadati; Pseudomonadota; Alphaproteobacteria.
GAGUUUGAUCGUGGCUCAGAUUGAACGCUGGCGGCAUGCCUAACACAUGCAAGUCGAACGAGACCUUCGGGUCUAGUGGCGCACGGGUGCGUAACGCGUGGGAAUCUGCCCUUGGGUUCGGAACAACAGUUGGAAACGACUGCUAAUACCGGAUGAUGACUUCGGUCCAAAGAUUUAUCGCCUGAGGAUGAGCCCGCGUCGGAUUAGCUAGCUGGUAGGGUAAAAGCCUACCAAGGCGACGAUCCGUAGCUGGUCUGAGAGGAUGAUCAGCCACACUGGGACUGAGACACGGCCCAGACUCCUACGGGAGGCAGCAGUGGGGAAUAUUGGACAAUGGGCGAAAGCCUGAACCAGCAAUGCCGCGUGAGUGAUGAAGGCCUUCGGUUGU